CGGCCGGCGUGCUAAACUGUAAGUCGAACGAGGGGAAGCCGCAAGGCUGAACCGAGUGGCGGACGGCUGAGUAACGCGUAGGUGACUUGCCCUAAAGUGUGGAAUAACGAUUCGAAAGAAUCGCUAAUACCGCAUGUGGUUGUGCGUGUAAGAGCGCGCAACUAAAGCCCGCAAGGGCGCUUUGGGAGAGGCCUGCGUCCGAUUAGCUAGUUGGUGGGGUAAUUGCCUACCAAGGCGACGAUCGGUAGCUGAUCUGAGAGGAUGAUCAGCCAGACUGGGACUGAGACACGGCCCAGACUCCUACGGGAGGCAGCAGUUAGGAAUUUUGCACAAUGGGGGAAACCCUGGUGCAGCAACGCCGCGUGGACGAUGAAGGCCUUCGGGUCGUAAAGUCCUUUUCAGAGGGAAGAUUCGGACGGUACCUCUGGAAUAAGCAUCGGCUAACUACGUGCCAGCAGCCGCGGUAAUACGUAGGAUGCGAGCGUUAUCCGGAUUUACUGGGCGUAAAGAGCGUGUAGGCGGUUCCGUAAGUUGGGCGUGAAAGCCCCCGGCUUAACUGGGGAGGGUCGUUCAAUACUGCGGGACUUGAGGGUGGAUGAGGAGACCAGAAUUCCCGGUGUAGUGGUGAAAUGCGUAGAUAUCGGGAGGAAUACCAGUGGCGAAGGCGGGUCUCUAGGCCACUCCUGACGCUGAGACGCGAAAGCGUGGGGAGCGAACGGAAUUAGAUACUCCGGUAGUCCACGCCCUAAACGAUGGACACUAGGUGUGGUGGGUAUCGACCCCUGCCGUGCCGUAGUCAACACAAUAAGUGUCCCCGCCCUG
RNAcentral lists this ribosomal RNA (822 nucleotides) under uncultured Chloroflexota bacterium. RNAcentral's name for it is "bacterial SSU rRNA". It matches the Rfam family "Bacterial small subunit ribosomal RNA", at positions 36 to 873 of the family's 1533-position model. The record is from RNAcentral. Lineage: Bacteria; Bacillati; Chloroflexota.